UCCUACUUGCUUUGGCUAAGGCUUCCAGUC
This 30-nucleotide non-coding RNA is filed under the name Rattus norvegicus (Norway rat). Lineage: Eukaryota; Metazoa; Chordata; Mammalia; Rodentia; Muridae. The record is from RNAcentral.